Molecule: small RNA, 538 nt
Filed under: Rutstroemia bulgarioides
Lineage: Eukaryota; Fungi; Ascomycota; Leotiomycetes; Helotiales; Rutstroemiaceae
Description: eukaryotic LSU rRNA
Rfam family: 5.8S ribosomal RNA (bases 189-342)
Source: RNAcentral
GAAGUAAAAGUCGUAACAAGGUUUCCGUAGGUGAACCUGCGGAAGGAUCAUUACAGAGUUCUCGCCUUAUAGUACAGGUAGAUCUCCCACCCUUGUGUAGUAAUACUAUGUUGCCUUGGCGGGCACGCCCGCCAAAGGACCCCAAAACUCUGAAUGUUAGUGUCGUCUGAGUACUAUAUAAUAGUUAAAACUUUCAACAACGGAUCUCUUGGUUCUGGCAUCGAUGAAGAACGCAGCGAAAUGCGAUAAGUAAUGUGAAUUGCAGAAUUCAGUGAAUCAUCGAAUCUUUGAACGCACAUUGCGCCCCUUGGUAUUCCGGGGGGCAUGCCUGUUCGAGCGUCAUUUCAACCCUCAAGCACUGCUUGGUAUUUGGGCCUCGCCGGCGACGGCGGGCCCUAAAGACAGUGGCGGCGCCGCUGGGCCCUGAGCGUAGUAAAUCUCUCGCUACAGGGUCCCCGCGCGCUCUCGCCAUCAACCCCCAAUUUUUCUAUGGUUGACCUCGGAUCAGGUAGGGAUACCCGCUGAACUUAAGCAUAUC